Molecule: ribosomal RNA, 119 nt
Filed under: Triticum aestivum (bread wheat)
Lineage: Eukaryota; Viridiplantae; Streptophyta; Magnoliopsida; Poales; Poaceae
Source: RNAcentral
GGAUGCGAUCAUACCAGCACUAAAGCACCGGAUCCCAUCAGAACUCUGAAGUUAAGCGUGCUUGGGCGAGAGUAGUACUGGGAUGGGUGACCUCCUGGGAAGUCCUCGUGUUGCGUUCC